UUUGUCCAACAACUGAUAGCACUUUUGACCUACGAAAUGGAGCCAUCAAGGAGUGGUAUCCAAAUAAUCCCGUUCUGAGAGUCUUGACUCCCCCUUUAAGAAAUUUAUUCGUCUACCCCGUGAAAACUGAUGGAGAAAAUAUUUAUAUAAGCAUUACCAGAGGUGCUCAAUCUGAUGCAUCUGCAGAGAUUGUUUUCAGCGGAAAGGCUCAGCCUGGUUUAACUGCAACAGAUGUCAAUGUUGAUGAGGUAAUUUGUAGCUCAAUGAACAGUUUGGCUAAGCUAAGUAACUUUUACUUUACUAUUAAUUCCAAUAUGUUCAAUAGAUAAUUUUUUUGGUAAUUCUUGGCCAAACAUGGUCUAUAUGUCGUGAAAUUAAUCCAACGGCUCCUGGAAAGCUAUUACUAACAUGCUGCCUCAACUUUGUUUUUCAGGUUAGAAUGGUGGUCGAUGAGGAUUUUGAAGGUUUUGGUUUCACGGGGAAGAAUGAAUUGAUAAAUGGAAAGGCAGCAGUAAUUGGCUUCUUAUUGCUGUUGGAUUUCGAACUAUUGACAGGUAAAGGACUCCUCAAAGGAACCGGUUUCUUGGACUUCAUUUAUUCCAUUUCAGAUGCUUUAAAGUAAUUUU
This 626-nucleotide long non-coding RNA is filed under the name Olea europaea (common olive). RNAcentral's name for it is "long non-coding RNA (OEUR_LNC003846)". Lineage: Eukaryota; Viridiplantae; Streptophyta; Magnoliopsida; Lamiales; Oleaceae. The record is from RNAcentral.